GAAUGAACAAAACAUGCUAAUGUGCACAGAAAUUGAUUUGAGUUUCUAGACCUGAUCUCUUUGAUGUCUUUUGGUUUUGAUUUGAGAGCAUGGUCUCAUAGCAAAACG
This is a small nucleolar RNA of Rhododendron vialii, 108 nucleotides long. RefSeq annotates it as small nucleolar RNA snoR100. The transcript has a single exon. NCBI's taxonomy places the organism in Eukaryota, Viridiplantae, Streptophyta, Magnoliopsida, Ericales, Ericaceae. The record is from RefSeq and is a predicted model, not a curated record.